Molecule: ribosomal RNA, 301 nt
Filed under: uncultured bacterium
Lineage: Bacteria
Description: partial 16S ribosomal RNA
Rfam family: Bacterial small subunit ribosomal RNA
Source: RNAcentral
CAGCAGCCACGGUAAUACGUAGGUGGCAAGCGUUGUCCGGAAUUACUGGGCGUAAAGGGCUCGCAGGCGGUUUCUUAAGUCUGAUGUGAAAGCCCCCGGCUCAACCGGGGAGGGUCAUUGGAAACUGGGAAACUUGAGUGCAGAAGAGGAGAGUGGAAUUCCACGUGUAGCGGUGAAAUGCGUAGAGAUGUGGAGGAACACCAGUGGCGAAGGCGACUCUCUGGUCUGUAACUGACGCUGAGGAGCGAAAGCGUGGGGAGCGAACAGGAUUAGAUACCCCUGUAGUCCCUGUCUCUUAUAC